Molecule: long non-coding RNA, 202 nt
Filed under: Ananas comosus (pineapple)
Lineage: Eukaryota; Viridiplantae; Streptophyta; Magnoliopsida; Poales; Bromeliaceae
Description: long non-coding RNA (ACOM_LNC042599)
Source: RNAcentral
GAUAGUGUUACAGUGCACUAUGGUGUGGUAUAGAAGUAAUGGUUAGUUUGGUUCUCCUGUUGCUUCUUCAACUUGUUAUUGGCGAUGGAUCCGUAGGUUAUUUGUUUGAUUUUCGAUGAGUACGUUGGCUGCAGACGACGUAGUGCUGAAAGUUGUGACGAAACACCCUAUCCUUUUUGGGAGAAUCUGGAUUGGGUCGAUG